Molecule: transfer RNA, 76 nt
Filed under: Geoalkalibacter ferrihydriticus
Lineage: Bacteria; Pseudomonadati; Thermodesulfobacteriota; Desulfuromonadia; Desulfuromonadales; Geoalkalibacteraceae
Also listed under: 1 other name
Description: tRNA_Thr_CGT
Rfam family: tRNA
About the family: Transfer RNA (tRNA) molecules are approximately 80 nucleotides in length. Their secondary structure includes four short double-helical elements and three loops (D, anti-codon, and T loops).
Source: RNAcentral
GCCACCCUAGCUCAGCUGGUAGAGCAGCUGAUUCGUAAUCAGCAGGUCGUCGGUUCGAAUCCGAUGGGUGGCUCCA